AUUGAACGCUGGCGGCAGGCCUAACACAUGCAAGUCGAGCGGCAGCGACUUAACUGAACCUUCGGGGAACGUUAAGGGCGGCGAGCGGCGGACGGGUGAGUAAUGCCUGGGAAUAUGCCCUGAUGUGGGGGAUAACUAUUGGAAACGAUAGCUAAUACCGCAUAAUCUCUUCGGAGCAAAGAGGGGGACCUUCGGGCCUCUCGCGUCAGGAUUAGCCCAGGUGGGAUUAGCUUGUUGGUGAGGUAAUGGCUCACCAAGGCUACGAUCCCUAGCUGGUCUGAGAGGAUGAUCAGCCACACUGGAACUGAGACACGGUCCAGACUCCUACGGGAGGCAGCAGUGGGGAAUAUUGCACAAUGGGGGAAACCCUGAUGCAGCCAUGCCGCGUGUGUGAAGAAGGCCUUCGGGUUGUAAAGCACUUUCAGUAGGGAGGAAGGUAGUGUAGUUAACACCUGCAUUAUUUGACGUUACCUACAGAAGAAGCACCGGCUAACUCCGUGCCAGCGGCCGCGGUAAUACGGAGGGUGCGAGCGUUAAUCGGAAUUACUGGGCGUAAAGCGCAUGCAGGCGGCCUGUUAAGUCAGAUGUGAAAGCCCGGGGCUUAACCUCGGAAUUGCAUUUGAAACUGGCAGGCUAGAGUCUUGUAGAGGGGGGUAGAAUUUCAGGUGUAGCGGUGAAAUGCGUAGAGAUCUGAAGGAAUACCAGUGGCGAAGGCGGCCCCCUGGACAAAGACUGACGCUCAGAUGCGAAAGCGUGGGGAGCAAACAGG
Molecule: ribosomal RNA, 769 nt
Filed under: uncultured bacterium
Lineage: Bacteria
Description: bacterial SSU rRNA
Rfam family: Bacterial small subunit ribosomal RNA
Source: RNAcentral